AGCCCGCCGCUCUGCUUCGGUUCUGGUGGGGAUCAGCCACCAGACGCAAGGGGGAAAGUUCGGUGCGAAUCCGACGCUGUCCCGCAACUGUGAUGAGCGCAACCGCGCAGGAUGCUUGACCCUCUGCUUGCCAGGUUCCUUUGGCAGAGCGGAUUUGUCAGUUCUUUAGCCUGAGUGCGUUAUCUCUGAGUCAGGAUGCCCGCCGAUAGCACCACCUGAUG
Molecule: non-coding RNA, 221 nt
Filed under: Leptolyngbya sp.
Lineage: Bacteria; Bacillati; Cyanobacteriota; Cyanophyceae; Leptolyngbyales; Leptolyngbyaceae
Source: RNAcentral